CUGGCGGCGUGCCUAACACAUGCAAGUCGAACGGAGUAUAUUCGCUGCAGAGGUUCGGUCGAAGCUUGAGUAUACUUAGUGGCGGACGGGUGAGUAACGCGUGGGCAACCUGCCUCAUACUGGGGGAUAGCAGUUGGAAACGACUGAUAAUACCGCAUAAGCGCACAGCAUCGCAUGAUGCAGUGUGAAAAACUCCGGUGGUAUGAGAUGGGCCCGCGUCAGAUUAGCCAGUUGGCAGGGUAACGGCCUACCAAAGCGACGAUCUGUAGCCGGCCUGAGAGGGCGGACGGCCACAUUGGGACUGAGACACGGCCCAAACUCCUACGGGAGGCAGCAGUGGGGGAUAUUGCACAAUGGAGGAAACUCUGAUGCAGCGACGCCGCGUGAAGUGAAGAAGUAUUUCGGUAUGUAAAAGCUCUAUCAGCAGGGAAGAAAGACUCGCAAGAGAGAUGACGGUACCUGACUAAGAAGCCCCGGCUAACUACGUGCCAGCCGCUGC
RNAcentral lists this ribosomal RNA (499 nucleotides) under uncultured bacterium. RNAcentral's name for it is "bacterial SSU rRNA". It matches the Rfam family "Bacterial small subunit ribosomal RNA", at positions 36 to 518 of the family's 1533-position model. The record is from RNAcentral.